Molecule: long non-coding RNA, 862 nt
Organism: Carassius gibelio (silver crucian carp)
Lineage: Eukaryota; Metazoa; Chordata; Actinopteri; Cypriniformes; Cyprinidae
Exons: 3
Source: RefSeq, a predicted model, not a curated record
UAAAACAAAUAAAUAACCAAUAAAGGAGAAUAUUUAUGCGCGAACAGCGGGAAACUGUAUAAAACAUCAAAUCUGAUUUGAAACUUGUGACGUAUAAACGCGCACAUCAACCCGAUUACUUUAUUUAUCAUUCAUGUAUACACCUUGUUCAGAUUCAUCAUUUGUAUUUAUUUCAUUCUGAUUGUGUCCAUGUAAACGUAGCUAAUGCUGUUAAAAUUCAGGCAUCAUUUUGGUCACUACAAUCAUGAUAUGAACAUUUCAUACUGUUUCGUUUCUAUUCUGCGUCAUUCCUCUAAACAGCCAAGAGCAAAGAAUUCCAGCCCCAUUUCCUCUUGUCUUCUCACUACCAAAAUUCCCAAAGGAUGUUCAGUUAAAAUUGGAUAACAAAGAACCAUGUCAUAAGAUCAGCACUUACCGGCAUAAAAUUGUACGAGUGCUGCACGAGACUAUGGCUCAGCACACACUAUAUCCUUCAAACAGUGACUAUGUUUGCGCUGUCAAGGCUCUUAUCUCCAAAUACCCUUUCCUGAGAGAUGCAGAGGGAAAUGGAUAUCAUACCUGGCACAUGUCCCUGAAAAGAAAAUUUAAAACUGAAAGGUCCCCACUUGUUAACGAAGAGGAGGUAAAAAAGAUUAAAAUGAAAUAUGGUCACAAUGUAAAGAAACCUGGAGAAAAAGAGGCUAGUUGUCAGAGAACCAGCAGAUCUGUGGUAAGCAAUGUCUAGCAGUGAUACAUCACAAUAUAAAACACUAAACUACAGCUUUAAACUGUAGUCUUUCAUCAAAGGAAUAAUUCACUCAGAUUAUAUAUGACUAAAUCUUGAAACCUGUAAUCUUGUCAUUACAUGUGUUUUGCAUUAUAG